AUCUCAAAUCAGGUAGGGCUACCCGCUGAACUUAAGCAUAUCAAAUAAGCGGGAGGAA
This 58-nucleotide ribosomal RNA is filed under the name uncultured Thelephoraceae. Its description in RNAcentral is "partial 28S ribosomal RNA". Lineage: Eukaryota; Fungi; Basidiomycota; Agaricomycetes; Thelephorales; Thelephoraceae. The record is from RNAcentral.